CCUACGGGAGGCAGCAGUGAGGAAUAUUGGUCAAUGGCCGGAAGGCUGAACCAGCCAUGCCGCGUGAAGGUCAGUGCCCUAUGGGCGUUAAACUUCUUUUGUGCGGGAGCAAUAAUGGUCACGUGUGGCCAGACGACAGUUCUGUACGAAUAAGCCUCGGCUAACUCCGUGCCAGCCGCCGCGGUAAUACGGGGGAUGCAAGCGUUAUCCGGAUUUAUUGGGUUUAAAGGGUGCGUAGGCUGGGAGGUAAGUCAGCGGUGAAAUUCCCCGGCUCAACGGGGUGAAGUGCCAUUGAUACUGCCUUGCUGGAAUGCGGAGGCCGUGGGAGGAAUGUGUGGUGUAGCGGUGAAAUGCAUAGAUAUCACACAGAACACCGAUUGCGAAGGCAUCUCACGAAUCCGCGAUUGACGCUGAUGCACGAAAGCGUGGGUAUCAAACAGGAUUAGAUACCCCUGUAGUC
This 460-nucleotide ribosomal RNA is filed under the name uncultured bacterium. Its description in RNAcentral is "partial 16S ribosomal RNA". It matches the Rfam family "Bacterial small subunit ribosomal RNA", at positions 338 to 795 of the family's 1533-position model. The record is from RNAcentral.